Molecule: ribosomal RNA, 253 nt
Filed under: uncultured bacterium
Lineage: Bacteria
Description: partial 16S ribosomal RNA
Rfam family: Bacterial small subunit ribosomal RNA
Source: RNAcentral
GACAGAGGGUGCAAACGUUGCUCGGAUUUACUGGGCGUAAAGCGCGUGUAGGCGGGCGACUAAGUCGGAUGUGAAAUCCCUGGGCUCAACCUAGGAACUGCAUUCGAAACUGGUCACCUGGAGUGAUGGAGAGGAAAGCGGAAUUCCCGGUGUAGAGGUGAAAUUCGUAGAUAUCGGGAGGAACACCAGUGGCGAAGGCGGCUUUCUGGACAUUUACUGACGCUGAGACGCGAAAGCGUGGGGAGCAAACAGG